AUUGAACGCUGGCGGCAGGCCUAACACAUGCAAGUCGAGCGGUAGCACAGAAGAGCUUGCUCUUUGGGUGACGAGCGGCGGACGAGUGAGUAAUGUCUGGGAAACUGCCUGAUGGAGGGGGAUAACUACUGGAAACGGUAGCUAAUACCGCAUAACCUCGCAAGAGCAAAGAGGGGGACCUUCGAGCCUCUCGCCAUCAGAUGUGCCCAGAUGGGAUUAGCUAGUAGGUGAGGUAAUGGCUCACCUAGGCGACGAUCCCUAGCUGGUCUGAGAGGAUGACCAGCCACACUGGAACUGAGACACGGUCCAGACUCCUACGGGAGGCAGCAGUGGGGAAUAUUGCACAAUGGGCGCAAGCCUGAUGCAGCCAUGCCGCGUGUGUGAAGAAGGCCUUCGGGUUGUAAAGCACUUUCAGCGGGGAGGAAGGCGGUAAGGUUAAUAACCUUAUCGAUUGACGUUACCCGCAGAAGAAGCACCGGCUAACUCCGUGCCAGCCGCCGCGGUAA
RNAcentral lists this ribosomal RNA (506 nucleotides) under uncultured bacterium. RNAcentral describes it as "partial 16S ribosomal RNA". It matches the Rfam family "Bacterial small subunit ribosomal RNA", at positions 30 to 523 of the family's 1533-position model. The record is from RNAcentral.